GAUGAACGCUGGCGGCGUGCCUAAUACAUGCAAGUCGAGCGAAUGGAUUAAGAGCUUGCUCUUAUGAAGUUAGCGGCGGACGGGUGAGUAACACGUGGGUAACCUGCCCAUAAGACUGGGAUAACUCCGGGAAACCGGGGCUAAUACCGGAUAACAUUUUGAACCGCAUGGUUCGAAAUUGAAAGGCGGCUUCGGCUGUCACUUAUGGAUGGACCCGCGUCGCAUUAGCUAGUUGGUGAGGUAACGGCUCACCAAGGCAACGAUGCGUAGCCGACCUGAGAGGGUGAUCGGCCACACGGGGACUGAGACACGGCCCAGACUCCUACGGGAGGCAGCAGUAGGGAAUCUUCCGCAAUGGACGAAAGUCUGACGGAGCAACGCCGCGUGGGUGAUGAAGGCUUUCGGGUCGUAAAACUCUGUUGUUAGGGAAGAACAAGUGCUAGUUGAAUAAGCUGGCACCUUGACGGUACCUAACCAGAAAGCCACGGCUAACUACGUGCCAGCCGCCGCCCGUAA
Molecule: ribosomal RNA, 516 nt
Filed under: uncultured bacterium
Lineage: Bacteria
Description: partial 16S ribosomal RNA
Rfam family: Bacterial small subunit ribosomal RNA
Source: RNAcentral